AAGUGUUACAGCUCUUUUAGAAUUUGUCUGGUAGAUGUUCCUCUCCUCCCAGAAGACUGUCAAU
This is a small nuclear RNA of Rhinolophus ferrumequinum (greater horseshoe bat), 64 nucleotides long. Its record names the gene U7. It matches the Rfam family "U7 small nuclear RNA". Rfam says of the family: Animal histone pre-mRNAs are spliced by a different mechanism than nuclear pre-mRNAs and self-splicing introns. This processing involves the U7 snRNP, which contains only one RNA species: U7. The 5' end of U7 RNA is thought to base-pair to a conserved spacer element downstream of the cleavage site in histone pre-mRNA. Lineage: Eukaryota; Metazoa; Chordata; Mammalia; Chiroptera; Rhinolophidae. The record is from Ensembl.